RNAcentral lists this ribosomal RNA (433 nucleotides) under uncultured bacterium. Its description in RNAcentral is "bacterial SSU rRNA". It matches the Rfam family "Bacterial small subunit ribosomal RNA", at positions 252 to 677 of the family's 1533-position model. The record is from RNAcentral.
GUGGGGUAAAGGCCCACCAAGCCAACGAUCUGUAGCUGGUCUGAGAGGACGACCAGCCACACUGGGACUGAGACACGGCCCAGACUCCUACGGGAGGCAGCAGUGGGGGAUUUUGGACAAUGGGCGCAAGCCUGAUCCAGCCAUGCCGCGUGCGGGAAGAAGGCCUUCGGGUUGUAAACCGCUUUUGUCAGGGAAGAAAAGGUUCUGGUUAAUACCUAGGACUCAUGACGGUACCGUAAGAAUAAGCACCGGCUAACUACGUGCCAGCAGCCGCGGUAAUACGUAGGGUGCAAGCGUUAAUCGGAAUUACUGGGCGUAAAGCGUGCGCAGGCGGUUAUAUAAGACAGAUGUGAAAUCCCCGGGCUCAACCUGGGAACUGCAUUUGUGACUGUAUAGCUGGAGUGCGGCAGAGGGGGAUGGAAUUCCGCGUGUA